Molecule: ribosomal RNA, 342 nt
Filed under: uncultured Anoxybacillus sp.
Lineage: Bacteria; Bacillati; Bacillota; Bacilli; Caryophanales; Anoxybacillaceae
Description: bacterial SSU rRNA
Rfam family: Bacterial small subunit ribosomal RNA
Source: RNAcentral
UGGUGCAUGGUUGUCGGUCAGCUCGUGUCGUGAGAUGUUGGGUUAAGUCCGCAACGAGCGCAACCCUCGACCUUAGUUGCCAGCAUUCAGUUGGGCACUCUAAGGUGACUGCCGGCUAAAAGUCGGAGGAAGGUGGGGAUGACGUCAAAUCAUCAUGCCCCUUAUGACCUGGGCUACACACGUGCUACAAUGGGCGGUACAAAGGGUCGCGAACCCGCGAGGGGGAGCCAAUCCCAAAAAGCCGCUCUCAGUUCGGAUUGCAGGCUGCAACUCGCCUGCAUGAAGCCGGAAUCGCUAGUAAUCGCGGAUCAGCAUGCCGCGGUGAAUACGUUCCCGGGCCUU